Molecule: small RNA, 536 nt
Filed under: Histoplasma capsulatum var. duboisii H88
Lineage: Eukaryota; Fungi; Ascomycota; Eurotiomycetes; Onygenales; Ajellomycetaceae
Description: Histoplasma capsulatum H88 hypothetical RNA
Source: RNAcentral
ACAUCGCACGAGGGUUUGGUGUGGCUUGGUGCCGUCUGUUCGCUAUACAAGCCGCGGUGAUACACUAUUGCGGAUUUCUCCACAGCGAGCGUUCUCUCUUUUUGCCCCUCAGAAACCCAAAUUCCAAAAGAGGGAAUAAGAAAUGGGAAGCAUAGGAUAGCAAUGGGCGGGUCUGUUACGGGUGCCUGGGGACACAUCCACGAUUGGAUGGGAACCGAGCAGCCGGAGCUUGAAGCUGUAGAGAGAAGUGCAAACUAACUUCUACAUGCCUUUCCAGCCUUACCUCCUUACUGACUGCAGGAUAUGGUCGGGAUACGGACGGAAUCAUUUUAUGGGCGCAAUCAUAGUUCAGAAAAAGAGACUUUUAAAAUUAAAUUUUGUCUCUGAUACCAAGUUUGUUUGAAAAAUUAAAAUAUGAACUUAAUUGACAAGUGGCACAUCGUGCGAAACUUUUAAUAGUUAGGUAAAAUUACCAAAAAGAAAAAAAAACAGAACGAAAAAGAAAUGAGAAAUAAGAAAGGCUAAAUAUAGUCAAU